This is a long non-coding RNA of Nerophis lumbriciformis (worm pipefish), 235 nucleotides long. RefSeq lists it as uncharacterized. The record is from RefSeq and is a predicted model, not a curated record. Lineage: Eukaryota; Metazoa; Chordata; Actinopteri; Syngnathiformes; Syngnathidae.
UGCCAUGGAGACCAUCUGGCAUGACAAGCUGUUGGCCGGUGUGAGGGCCCACCAUCACGCCAAGUCGAUGCUAACGAGGCGGAUGACGGACUAGGGAUUUCCUGGAUCAUCAUCACCAUCAUCAUCAUCACGGCUGCCUCGCUUAGGUGGAAGAGGAGGAGGCGCAGUCUCAUCAUGCACCCAGGAAGAGAUUCUCUGAGACCACCUCUGGCUGUUCACAUUGAUCCUAACUAAC